Gavialis gangeticus (Gharial) is the source of this 374-nucleotide long non-coding RNA. RefSeq lists it as uncharacterized. The transcript has 3 exons. The record is from RefSeq and is a predicted model, not a curated record. Lineage: Eukaryota; Metazoa; Chordata; Crocodylia; Gavialidae.
GAUUUGUAGGUGUUAGGGGCUGGAACAGACCUUACAAGACCAUCAGGACCAGUCCCCCUACACUUGAGCAGGAAAGACUGCUGGGGCAGAUGACCCCAGCAGGGUGGGCAUUAAGAGGCUCUUCCUUUGAUGCCAGGUCCAUCUCCACAAGCAGUGCUGCCAUGAUGCCCUGGCUGCCCACCCCUCUCUUCUGCCCUCAAAUAAAUGAUCUACCUUCCCAAGCUGCUUCAAAAGUACCAGGAGGGAAAGAGCUAUUUUCCUGCUGUGGUCUCAAGUUGCAGCAAGGGAGGUGUAGGCUGGAUGUUAGGAAAAACUCUCACUAGGAGCAUGGUGAAACACUGGAACAGGUUACCCAGAGAGGUGGUGGACUCUCC